Molecule: transfer RNA, 72 nt
Filed under: Bos taurus (domestic cattle)
Lineage: Eukaryota; Metazoa; Chordata; Mammalia; Artiodactyla; Bovidae
Also listed under: 4 other names
Rfam family: tRNA
About the family: Transfer RNA (tRNA) molecules are approximately 80 nucleotides in length. Their secondary structure includes four short double-helical elements and three loops (D, anti-codon, and T loops).
Source: Rfam by way of RNAcentral
UCCCUGUUGGCUCAGACAGUAAAGAAUCUGCCUGCAAUGCGGGAGACCCGGGUUCAAUCCCUGGGUGGGGAA